Molecule: ribosomal RNA, 95 nt
Filed under: Gracilibacillus halotolerans
Lineage: Bacteria; Bacillati; Bacillota; Bacilli; Caryophanales; Bacillaceae
Source: RNAcentral
GUCACACCUGUUCCCAUACCGAACACAGAAGUUAAGCUCUUCAGCGCCCAUGGUAGUUGGGGUUUUACCCCUGCGAGAGUAGGACGUCGCCAGGC